Molecule: long non-coding RNA, 303 nt
Organism: Lolium rigidum
Lineage: Eukaryota; Viridiplantae; Streptophyta; Magnoliopsida; Poales; Poaceae
Exons: 3
Source: RefSeq, a predicted model, not a curated record
UGAACGUGCUACUUUCGCUGUUGUAUGUAAAAGCCAGGCAAGUUAAUGGUCAGAUGAAGCAUAUGCUGCCGAAAAGUUUAGGCCACUAGUCUUCCAAAAAAAGACCAAUGGCCGUUGGUCCAGACACUUGUAUGUGACUUAUAGAAGCAGAGGGUCGUUUUUGGAACCCAGUUGCUCCUGUUGUAAAUGGGGAUGUGUAUACUGAUAUCUCACCUGUGAACUCCGUGAUCUUUUGACAGAGGAAGGAGGAGGGAGUUUGUGGCUGCACCGUCUCUCCGACGUGGCUACAAGUCACGGAACAAC